UGGGAGAUAUUGGGCAAUGGGCGCAAGCCUGACCCAGCAACGCCGCGUGAAGGAAGAAGGCCCUCGGUUGUAACUUCUUUUAUCAGGGACGAAGAAAGUGACGGUACCUGAUGAAUAAGCCACGGCUAACUACGUGCCAGCAGCCGCGGUAAUACGUAGGUGGCAAGCGUUAUCCGGAUUUACUGGGUGUAAAGGGCGUGUAGGCGGGACUGCAAGUCAGAUGUGAAAACCAUGGGCUCAACCCAUGGCCUGCAUUUGAAACUGUAGUUCUUGAGUACUGGAGAGGCAGACGGAAUUCCUAGUGUAGCGGUGAAAUGCGUAGAUAUUAGGAGGAACACCAGUGGCGAAGGCGGUCUGCUGGACAGCAACUGACGCUGAGGCGCGAAAGCGUGGGAGCAAACAAGGAGUUAGAUACC
This 416-nucleotide ribosomal RNA is filed under the name uncultured bacterium. RNAcentral's name for it is "bacterial SSU rRNA". It matches the Rfam family "Bacterial small subunit ribosomal RNA", at positions 355 to 786 of the family's 1533-position model. The record is from RNAcentral.